ACGAGUGGCGAACGGGUGAGUAACACGUAGGAAUCUACCCAGAAGUGGGGGACAACCCGGAGAAAUCCGGGCUAAUACCGCAUACGCCCUAAGGGGUAAAGCGGGGGACCUUUUCGAAGGCCUCGCGCUUUUGGAUGAGCCUGCGUCGGAUUAGCUUGUUGGUGAGGUAAUGGCUCACCAAGGCAACGAUCCGUAGCUGGUCUGAGAGGAUGACCAGCCACACUGGGACUGAGACACGGCCCAG
This 244-nucleotide ribosomal RNA is filed under the name uncultured bacterium. RNAcentral describes it as "partial 16S ribosomal RNA". It matches the Rfam family "Bacterial small subunit ribosomal RNA", at positions 91 to 334 of the family's 1533-position model. The record is from RNAcentral.